This 468-nucleotide ribosomal RNA is filed under the name uncultured bacterium. RNAcentral describes it as "partial 16S ribosomal RNA". It matches the Rfam family "Bacterial small subunit ribosomal RNA", at positions 28 to 507 of the family's 1533-position model. The record is from RNAcentral.
GACGAACGCUGGCGGCGUGCUUAACACAUGCAAGUCGAACGAUGAAAGAGGAGCUUGCUCCUCUGGAUUAGUGGCGAACGGGUGAGUAACACGUGAGCAAUCUGCCCCUGACUCCGGAAUAACUACGGGAAACUGUAGCUAAUACCGGAUAUGCGCCGAACAGGCAUCUGUAUCGGUGGGAAAGAAUUUCGGUCAGGGAUGAGCUCGCGGCCUAUCAGCUUGUUGGUGAGGUAACGGCUCACCAAGGCGACGACGGGUAGCCGGCCUGAGAGGGUGACCGGCUACGUGGGACUGGGACGGAGACACGGCCCCGACUGGGAGGGGAGGGAGGGGUGGGGAAGACAGGGCACGGGGGGAAAGCCUGACACCGCGGGGGGGGGGGAGUGAUCAAGGGGUUAGGAUCGCAAUUUUCGGGGAGAAGAGGCGAAAAUGACAGUACCGGGAGAAAAAGCGCCGGCUAACUCCGUG